UAAUACGUAGGGGGCAAGCGUUGUCCGGAUUCAUUGGGCGUAAAGGGCGAGUAGGUGGUUAUGCAAGUCGGAUGUGAAAACUCCAGGCUCAACCUGGAGACGCCACCCGAUACUGCAUUGACUAGAGUUCGGUAGGGGAUCACGGAAUACCUGGUGUAGCGGUGAAAUGCGCAGAUAUCAGGUGGAACACCGGUGGCGAAGGCGGUGAUCUGGGCCGACACUGACACUGAAUCGCGAAAGCGUGGGGAGCGAACAGGAUUAGAUACCCUGGUAGUCCACGCCGUAAACGUUGGGCACUAGGUGUGGGGUCUUACCAACGGACUCCGUGCCGUAGCUAACGCAUUAAGUGCCCCGCCUGGGGAGUACGGUCGCAAGACUA
Molecule: ribosomal RNA, 379 nt
Filed under: uncultured bacterium
Lineage: Bacteria
Description: bacterial SSU rRNA
Rfam family: Bacterial small subunit ribosomal RNA
Source: RNAcentral